Molecule: non-coding RNA, 226 nt
Filed under: unclassified sequences
Description: IS605-orfB-I RNA
Rfam family: IS605-orfB-I RNA
Source: Rfam by way of RNAcentral
AUCCUAUACAGAUGUAUUCAACGCUAGCCAGUUGAGCAUCUCCCUGUAGGAUGAAGUUUUUAAUAGAAAUCCUAACAACAAUUCUCAUUGUGUGGCUCUACGGGUGUGGCUCUACGGUCGAAAUGGGAUGCGUUAGGGUGGAAUAGGUUAACCGUAAGACCUUGAGUUGAAAAACUCUAAAAUUGAGCUAGAGAUGCGGAGUUCUUCAUUUUCUAGUUACGGUUCU